UACGUAGGGGGCUAGCGUUGUCCGGAAUCAUUGGGCGUAAAGCGCGUGUAGGCGGUCCGGUAAGUCCGCUGUGAAAGUCGGGGGCUCAACCCUCGAAUGCCGGUGGAUACUGUCGGGCUAGAGUGCGGAAGAGGCGAGUGGAAUUCCUGGUGUAGCGGUGAAAUGCGCAGAUAUCAGGAGGAACACCUAUUGCGAAGGCAGCUCGCUGGGACGUAACUGACGCUGAGACGCGAAAAGCGUGGGGGAGCAAACAGG
RNAcentral lists this ribosomal RNA (255 nucleotides) under uncultured bacterium. RNAcentral's name for it is "partial 16S ribosomal RNA". It matches the Rfam family "Bacterial small subunit ribosomal RNA", at positions 524 to 776 of the family's 1533-position model. The record is from RNAcentral.